RNAcentral lists this ribosomal RNA (371 nucleotides) under uncultured eukaryote. RNAcentral's name for it is "partial 18S ribosomal RNA". It matches the Rfam family "Eukaryotic small subunit ribosomal RNA", at positions 592 to 976 of the family's 1831-position model. The record is from RNAcentral.
CAAUAGCGUAUAUUAAAGUUGUUGCAGUUAAAAAGCUCGUAGUUGAUCAUUUGUUGGAUGCAGUGGUCCAAAUUGGCUCCGUCUGCGUCCGGCAUACUUGGGUAGAACCUUUCUGGCAUUAAGUUGUCGGGAUGGGGAAGCUCCUCUUUUACUGUGAAAAAAUCAGAGUGUUCCAAACAGGCUUACGCCGAUGAAUGUAUUAGCAUGGAAUAAUGAGAUAGGACUUUGGUACUAUUUUGUUGGUUUGUGCACCAAAGUAAUGGUUAACAGGGACAGUUGGGGGUAUUCGUAUUCCAUUGUCAGAGGUGAAAUUCUUGGAUUUUUGGAAGACGAACUACUGCGACAGCAUUUACCAAGGAUGUUUNCAUUAA